Molecule: long non-coding RNA, 324 nt
Organism: Etheostoma spectabile (orangethroat darter)
Lineage: Eukaryota; Metazoa; Chordata; Actinopteri; Perciformes; Percidae
Exons: 4
Source: RefSeq, a predicted model, not a curated record
CAGCUGAAGAGGACCAUCGUCAGUAUUGCAUUGUGGGAUGGAGAGCAUGGUACUUUCCACAAAAAGACGUGUCGAUGCACAGAGACAAACAAUGAAGGAGAAGACAGACUUCAGAGGGUCAUGUUGAGUCAUGCUCUGCAGGAGUCUUUGGAUGAGCUCAUGGUAAAGAAGCGUUGGUUUCGUGACAGAGAUGACUUCACUGUCAUUGUGCAGGACGCACCUUUAAUCACACACCUUUCACCUGUCUCUAGUGGGAAGCAUCUCUCUAAGUCAGCAUCACAACAAACUGAUAAGCUGAUGGUGCAGCUGUGGACUAACCUGCUG